UUGACCUCGGAUCAGGUAGGGAUACCCGCUGAACUUAAGCAUAUCAAUAAGCGGAGGAAAAGAAACCAACAGGGAUUGCCCUAGUAACGGCGAGUGAAGCGGCAACAGCUCAAAUUUGAAAUCUGGCUCUUUCAGAGUCCGAGUUGUAAUUUGCAGAGGGCGCUUUGGCUUUGGCAGCGGUCCAAGUUCCUUGGAACAGGACGUCACAGAGGGUGAGAAUCCCGUACGUGGUCGCUAGCUAUUGCCGUGUAAAGCCCCUUCGACGAGUCGAGUUGUUUGGGAAUGCAGCUCUAAAUGGGAGGUAAAUUUCUUCUAAAGCUAAAUAUUGGCCAGAGACCGAUAGCGCACAAGUAGAGUGAUCGAAAGAUGAAAAGCACUUUGGAAAGAGAGUCAAACAGCACGUGAAAUUGUUGAAAGGGAAGCGCUUGCAGCCAGACUUGCUUGCAGUUGCUCAUCCGGGCUUUUGCCCGGUGCACUCUUCUGUAGGCAGGCCAGCAUCAGUUUGGGCGGUGGGAUAAAGGUCUCUGUCACGUACCUCUCUUCGGGGAGGCCUUAUAGGGGAGACGACAUACCACCAGCCUAGACUGAG
Molecule: ribosomal RNA, 589 nt
Filed under: Bipolaris zeicola
Lineage: Eukaryota; Fungi; Ascomycota; Dothideomycetes; Pleosporales; Pleosporaceae
Description: eukaryotic LSU rRNA
Rfam family: Eukaryotic large subunit ribosomal RNA
Source: RNAcentral